UACGUAGGGGGCAAGCGUUGUCCGGAUUUAUUGGGCGUAAAGAGCGUGUAGGCGGCCAUACAGGUCAGCUGUGAAAACUCGAGGCUCAACCUCGAGACGCCGGUGGAAACCAUCAGACUAGAGUCCGGAAGAGGAGAGUGGAAUUCCUGGUGUGGCGGUGAAAUGCGCAGAUAUCAGGAAGAACACCCGUGGCUAAGGCGGCUCUCUAGUACGGUACUGACGCUGAGACGCGAAAGCGUGGGGAGCGAACAGG
Molecule: ribosomal RNA, 253 nt
Filed under: uncultured bacterium
Lineage: Bacteria
Description: partial 16S ribosomal RNA
Rfam family: Bacterial small subunit ribosomal RNA
Source: RNAcentral